UCCGUCGGGGGCUAGCGUUGUCCGGACUCAUUGGGCGUAAAGAGCGUGUAGGCGGCUCGGUACGUCCGCUGUGAAAGUCAAAGGCUCAACCUUUGAAUGUCAGUGGAUACUGCCGGGCUAGAGUCCGGAAGAGGCGAGUGGAACUCCUGGUGUAGCGGUGGAAUGCGCAGAUAUCAGGAAGAACACCAACGGCGAAGGCAGCGCGCUGGGACGGUACUGACGCUGAGACGCGAAAGCGUGGGGAGCGAACAGG
Molecule: ribosomal RNA, 253 nt
Filed under: uncultured bacterium
Lineage: Bacteria
Description: partial 16S ribosomal RNA
Rfam family: Bacterial small subunit ribosomal RNA
Source: RNAcentral